Carya illinoinensis is the source of this 831-nucleotide long non-coding RNA. RefSeq lists it as uncharacterized. The record is from RefSeq and is a predicted model, not a curated record. The transcript is spliced from 2 exons. NCBI's taxonomy places the organism in Eukaryota, Viridiplantae, Streptophyta, Magnoliopsida, Fagales, Juglandaceae.
GGGGGGAUGACGGAUAGUCCUCCCUCUAAAAGCGUGGAUGAAUGGAAACAAAUAAACUGUCGGGAAUAGUCAUAAUUUUUAUAAAUCUUCGAAUGCGUCCAAAUAUAAGACGCAGACAAAAUUAUGGGAUUUUUCUAAUGUCUCAGCACUGACCCUUGUCUACGUCUCUCUUUUAUUGUGGCUCAUUGCCUUUUCACUAUUGAUAUUUAUGAUUAACAAAUGGUAAGAGUGCCGUCUUGUUCUGAUAAAGCUUCUUUUGAAGGAGUUAAAUGAGAACCAGUAAUGGUUUUAAAGUGAAUUAGGCAGUAUUAUACUCUCCCAAGCUGUUUUCUUUCAAAGCACUUUGGGGUCAUCAUCAAUUCUUGAUUAUUUCUUGUGGCCAUAUGCCUGUAUUCCUUAUUCUCGACUGUCACAUAGAGGCAACAUCGCCAUCAAAUUUUAAGGCUAGAACACCCACAUGGAAGCAAGGAAUAUCACUCAUUUUGGCUGUAAGAAAAUGGAGAGCUGUGGUUUUAAGAAGAUGGCUUUGCUGCUGCUCUGUCCGCUUCGUGUGAAAUGGCAAUCAUCCUACUGGUUGUUGUGACUACAUGUAUUGUCUCUAAUAGUGCAGAUUGAUUGUACUACAUAAUCUAAGUCAUGUCUGGAAUAGCUUAGAUUAUGGCUUUCCUUGAUUGAUCUAUAUAUCUUAUCUAGAGGAAAAAUAGGAGAAAACACACGAAAUGUUUGAGAUGGGUGAAGUACUGCACGUAUCUGAUUUUAAAUUUGAUCAGGGAACUUGGUAGUCACAGAUUAAGAGAACGUACCUGAAAAGUAAUACAUAUUUCUGGUUUU